AUAAAACUCCUAAACCCCUGUGAACUUACUGGUGUUUGGCUCGCCAGAUAUAGUCUGGUCCGUAAGCAAAUCGACUGCCUGCCUGUGUAAUAGGCAGGUAAGCUUUUGUCGCGGGGUCCCGGAUCAACCCGGGCUAGAUAGCCACUUAACUAUAUACUUUUUAUAAAAUCUGUGAACUUACUAGGUUGGAUUCUCGCCAGAGAUAGUCUGGUUUCUGCUUCGCGGAUCGCCUACCCGUGACACCUGUCACAGGCAGGUAUGCUUCUGCCGCGGGUCCGUAAGUAAAUCAUCUGUUUCGCAAGGGACGGCGAUUUACCUGUGGAAGAGGUCCGCUAACUAUAUUCUUAGUAUAGUUUGUUCACUAGAUCAAACAUUCUGAAUAAAAACUUAAACUAGUUAAAACUUUCAACAACGGAUCUCUUGGUUCUGGCAUCGAUGAAGAACGCAGCGAAAUGCGAUAAGUAAUGUGAAUUGCAGAAUUCAGUGAAUCAUCGAAUCUUUGAACGCACAUUGCGCCCAUUAGUAUUCUAGUGGGCAUGCCUGUUCGAGCGUCAUUUCAACCCUUAAGCCCCUGUUGCUUAGCGUUGGGAGCCUACAGCCUGCUGUAGCUCCUUAAAGGUAGUGGCGGAGUCGGUUCACACUCUAGACGUAGUAAAAUCUUUAUCUCGCCUAUGGAUGAGCCGGCGCCUUGCCGUAAAACCCCUAAUCUUUCACAAGGUUGACCUCGGAUCAGGUAGGAAUACCCGCUGAACUUAAGCAUAUCAAUAAGCGGAGGAAAAGAAACCAACAGGGAUUGCCCUAGUAACGGCGAGUGAAGCGGCAACAGCUCAAAUUUGAAAUCUGGCCUUCGGGUCCGAGUUGUAAUUUGCAGAGGAUGCUUUGGGCGCGGUGCCUUCCGAGUUCCCUGGAACGGGACGCCUUAGAGGGUGAGAGCCCCGUACGGUUGGACACCAAGCCUCUGUAAAGCUCCUUCGACGAGUCGAGUAGUUUGGGAAUGCUGCUCUAAAUGGGAGGUAAAUUUCUUCUAAAGCUAAAUAUUGGCCAGAGACCGAUAGCGCACAAGUAGAGUGAUCGAAAGAUGAAAAGCACUUUGAAAAGAGGGUUAAAUAGCACGUGAAAUUGUUGAAAGGGAAGCGUUUGCGACCAGACCUUUUCCCAGCGGAUCAUCCGGUGUUCUCACCGGUGCACUUCGCUGGGUUGAGGCCAGCAUCGGUUUCCGCAGGGGGAUAAAAGCCUGGGGAACGUAGCUCCCUCGGGAGUGUUAUAGCCCCUCGCAUAAUACCCUUGCGGGGACCGAGGACCGCG
RNAcentral lists this ribosomal RNA (1305 nucleotides) under Xylaria sp. ARIZ FL1590. RNAcentral's name for it is "eukaryotic LSU rRNA". The stretch from base 720 to 1305 matches the Rfam family "Eukaryotic large subunit ribosomal RNA", at positions 1 to 597 of the family's 3401-position model. The record is from RNAcentral. Lineage: Eukaryota; Fungi; Ascomycota; Sordariomycetes; Xylariales; Xylariaceae.